Long non-coding RNA from Oncorhynchus keta (chum salmon), 385 nucleotides. RefSeq lists it as uncharacterized. The transcript is spliced from 4 exons. The record is from RefSeq and is a predicted model, not a curated record. Lineage: Eukaryota; Metazoa; Chordata; Actinopteri; Salmoniformes; Salmonidae.
CAGACACAGAGAGACCAGCAAGCUCAUCUCUGCCCUGCACAACAACAGCUGGACUCCUUCAUAUCUCUUUGGACAUGUGGGAUGGUGUGCUUGCACAAAGUUCUUCUUGUUCCUCACACAGCUGGGACCCCUGGACAGACUUGACCAACCACAGAAAACCUGCUAAAGGCCUACUGAAUGGGUGGAUUCAAAAGGGAGGUCCUCCUCUACUUGUUAUGCCAUGUGAUCCCACAAUGCCUCAGCACAGGCCUUCACUCGCAGAGGGUGUCUUUUUCCUCUGGAGCUGACAGUCAAACUGAGCUGGACCUGUGUCCUCCGAUUAAGGUCAGAGAGGAUAGUUUCCCAGGUCAGAGUUCAAACUACUGGGAACAAAACAACCAUUCAA